Molecule: ribosomal RNA, 464 nt
Filed under: uncultured bacterium
Lineage: Bacteria
Description: partial 16S ribosomal RNA
Rfam family: Bacterial small subunit ribosomal RNA
Source: RNAcentral
GACGAACGCUGGCGGCGUGCUUAACACAUGCAAGUCGAACGGAAAGGCCCUGCUUGCAGGGUACUCGAGUGGCGAACGCGUGAGUAACACGUGGGUGUUCUCCGCUGUACUCCGUGAUAUGCCUGGGAAACUGGGUGUAUUAUCGGAUAGGAGCCAUCCUUAUGGUGAUGGUUGGAAAGAUUUUUCGGUUUGGGAUGGACUCGCGGCCUAUCAGCUUGUUGGUGGGGUAGUGGCUUACCAAGGCGGCGACGGGUAGCCGGCCUGAGAGGGUGGACGGCCACAUUGGGACUGAGAUACGGCCCAGACUCCUACGGGAGGCAGCAGUGGGGAAUAUUGCACAAUGGGCGGAAGCCUGAUGCAGCAACGCCGCGUGCGGGAUGACGGCCUUCGGGUUGUAAACCGCUUUCGCUAGGGACGAAGCUUUAGGGACGGGAACCGGUAUAGAAGGAACGGCCAACUACGGU